This 496-nucleotide ribosomal RNA is filed under the name uncultured bacterium. Its description in RNAcentral is "partial 16S ribosomal RNA". It matches the Rfam family "Bacterial small subunit ribosomal RNA", at positions 29 to 507 of the family's 1533-position model. The record is from RNAcentral.
AUGAACGCUGGCGGCGUGCCUAAUACAUGCCAGUCGAGCGAACGGACGAGAAGCUUGCUUUUCUGAUGUUAGCGGCGGACGGGUGAGUAACACGUGGAUAACCUACCUAUAAGACUGGGAUAACUUCGGGAAACCGGAGCUAAUACCGGAUAAUAUUUUGAACCGCAUGGUUCCAAAGUGAAAGACGGUCUUGCUGUCACUUAUAGAUGGAUCCGCGCUGCAUUAGCUAGUUGGUAAGGUAACGGCUUACCAAGGCAACGAUGCAUAGCCGACCUGAGAGGGUGAUCGGCCACACUGGAACUGAGACACGGUCCAGACUCCUACGGGAGGCAGCAGUAGGGAAUCUUCCGCAAUGGGCGAAAGCCUGACGGAGCAACGCCGCGUGAGUGAUGAAGGUCUUCGGAUCGUAAAACUCUGUUAUUAGGGAAGAACAUAUGUGUAAGUAACUGUGCACAUCUUGACGGUACCUAAUCAGAAAGCCACGGCUAACUACGUG